AUGGAUGUGAUGAUCCUUUCCCCUGAUAAUCGACUAAGAUUAUAAUGUGCGUUUUGUUUAAAAAUCUUUUCAACAGAUUUUUGAAGCCAGUACUCUGAUCCAU
Papaver somniferum (opium poppy) is the source of this 103-nucleotide small nucleolar RNA. RefSeq annotates it as small nucleolar RNA Z103. The transcript has a single exon. Lineage: Eukaryota; Viridiplantae; Streptophyta; Magnoliopsida; Ranunculales; Papaveraceae. The record is from RefSeq and is a predicted model, not a curated record.